GACGUAGGUGGCGAACGUUAUCCGGAAUUACUGGGCGUAAAGGGUGCGUAGGUGGUUUCUUAAGUCAGAGGUGAAAGGCUACGGCUCAACCGUAGUAAGCCUUUGAAACUGGGAAACUUGAGUGCAGGAGAGGAGAGUGGAAUUCCUAGUGUAGCGGUGAAAUGCGUAGAUAUUAGGAGGAACACCAGUUGCGAAGGCGGCUCUCUGGACUGUAACUGACACUGAGGCACGAAAGCGUGGGGAGCAAACAGG
This 252-nucleotide ribosomal RNA is filed under the name uncultured bacterium. RNAcentral describes it as "partial 16S ribosomal RNA". It matches the Rfam family "Bacterial small subunit ribosomal RNA", at positions 524 to 776 of the family's 1533-position model. The record is from RNAcentral.